Molecule: long non-coding RNA, 714 nt
Organism: Crotalus tigris (Tiger rattlesnake)
Lineage: Eukaryota; Metazoa; Chordata; Lepidosauria; Squamata; Viperidae
Exons: 3
Source: RefSeq, a predicted model, not a curated record
UGUUGGGGUGGCUGGAUUCUAGAGUUUUACUGACAUAGACCCAAGAGGCUGGAGAGUUACAGCAAUUUUCAGGAUGAACAGGUUGCUGAUAUGUUCCACUUGUGACAACUACCACGGCAUCAACGGGAAGAUUGCCAGGAGCAAACAUGAGAGAAUCCAACUUAGCACUGUUGCCUAUGGCCAAAAACAAGAAAAUUGGCCUUGGAAAUAAGAAUGAUUCAUACUCACAGAGGGCAUGUUAAACAAUAUGAGAAAAGUGAAGAUUAAAUGUGGGAAACAAGAUACCUGAGGAUAUUCGACAUCAUGAAGAAAAAUUAAAGCUAUCUGAAGAUCUGGUAAUUUAGAAUUAAUUUAAAUGCAUCAAACUAUUUAAUUAGGUUUGAUUAAAGAUGACAAAGGACCAAACUAGCCUAGUUUAAAAUCUAUACCCAACUCAUAAAAUCAGGUCCACAAAUCAAAAGUUUCAAGUAAAAUUUAUUUUCUGCAAAGGAGGAUUUAUAUUAUGACUAUGAGAAACAGUGGCUCAAAUAUUUUUAGCAGUGAGAGAAUUCAUAUCAUUCAGAAGCCAUGAAACAACUUAAUGGCUUCUAGUAAAUUUUGAUUCCUCAUUCAUUUAAUGAGGAUUUUAUCAACGUAACAGCACUAGCAGCAGCUAAUAACACUAAAAACUGUCUUUUGUAAUAUAUGCAUAAUAAUGGUAAUUACAGGUGUUAC